ACCUGCGGAGGGAUCAUUACCGAGUUUU
Molecule: ribosomal RNA, 28 nt
Filed under: Beauveria sungii
Lineage: Eukaryota; Fungi; Ascomycota; Sordariomycetes; Hypocreales; Cordycipitaceae
Description: partial 18S ribosomal RNA
Source: RNAcentral